RNAcentral lists this unclassified non-coding RNA (391 nucleotides) under soil metagenome. Its description in RNAcentral is "partial contains 5.8S ribosomal RNA, internal transcribed spacer 2, and large subunit ribosomal RNA". The stretch from base 1 to 122 matches the Rfam family "5.8S ribosomal RNA", at positions 35 to 154 of the family's 154-position model. The record is from RNAcentral.
GAUGAAGAACGUAGCGAAAUGCGAUACUUGGUGUGAAUUGCAGAAUCCCGUGAACCAUCGAGUCUUUGAACGCAAGUUGCGCCCGAAGCCGUUAGGCCGAGGGCACGCCUGCCUGGGCGUCACACGUCGUUGCCCCCCCAUCUACUCCUUCGGGAUUGCGGGGGGCGGAUGAUGGCCUCCCGUGCGCCUCGUCGCGCGGUUGGCAUAAAUGCCAAGUCCUCGGCGACGCACGCCACGACAAUCGGUGGUUGCGAAACCUCGGUUGCCCGUCGUGUGCGGUCGUCGCGCAUCGAGGGCUCGAAAAAAUUGCCGGGCUCCGGCUCGGCUUUCAACGCGACCCCAGGUCAGGCGGGGUUACCCGCUGAAUUUAAGCAUAUCAAUAAGCGGAGGA